GGCGCGGUGGCGCAGUGGUUAAGUGCGCUUGACUUGGGACCAAAAGGUCCUGAGUUUGAGUCCUUGCCAUGAUU
Non-coding RNA from Gymnothorax javanicus (giant moray), 74 nucleotides. NCBI's taxonomy places the organism in Eukaryota, Metazoa, Chordata, Actinopteri, Anguilliformes, Muraenidae. The record is from the annotation of a GenBank genome assembly.